Molecule: ribosomal RNA, 245 nt
Filed under: uncultured bacterium
Lineage: Bacteria
Description: partial 16S ribosomal RNA
Rfam family: Bacterial small subunit ribosomal RNA
Source: RNAcentral
AUCAUGGCUCAGGAUGAACGCUAGCUACAGGCUUAACACAUGCAAGUCGAGGGGCAGCAUUUUAGUUGCUUGCAAAACUGAAGAUGGCGACCGGCGCACGGGUGAGUAACACGUAUCCAACCUGCCGAUAACUCCCGGGGAUAGCCUUUCGAAAGAAAGAUUAAAUACCGGAUAGCAUACGAAUAUCGCAUGAUAUUUUUAUUAAAGAAUUUCGGUUAUCGAUGGGGAUGCGUUCCAUAGUUUGG